GUGAAUCAUCAAAUUUUUGAACGCAAAUUGCACUCCCUGGUAUUCCGGGGAGUAUGCCUGUUUGAGGGUCGUCAGAAUAAAAAAUCGAGGCGUCGCUCUUUUUUUUGAGGGUGAUCGCGUCGGAAUUGAGCCGUCUUUCAAAUGUUAAUUCAUGUCAAAAUUGCUUGAAAUUCAUCCAUCCGUUAUGAUUAUGUCGUC
This 198-nucleotide unclassified non-coding RNA is filed under the name Funneliformis mosseae. RNAcentral's name for it is "partial contains 5.8S ribosomal RNA and internal transcribed spacer 2". The stretch from base 1 to 71 matches the Rfam family "5.8S ribosomal RNA", at positions 84 to 154 of the family's 154-position model. Lineage: Eukaryota; Fungi; Glomeromycota; Glomeromycetes; Glomerales; Glomeraceae. The record is from RNAcentral.